Streptomyces griseoaurantiacus M045 is the source of this 116-nucleotide small RNA. It matches the Rfam family "Streptomyces-metK RNA". Lineage: Bacteria; Bacillati; Actinomycetota; Actinomycetes; Kitasatosporales; Streptomycetaceae. The record is from Rfam.
GCGAGACGGGUGGGCCCGUGGCCGGGCAUGACCGAUAAACUGUCCCCGGACGUCGCCGGGCGCAGCCCCCGCCCGUCCACCAAUGAUCAGCCAGCAGCCGCUGCAACCCCAGGGAG